GACGUAGGGCGCGAGCGUUGUCCGGAUUUAUUGGGCGUAAAGAGCUCGUAGGCGGCUUGUCGCGUCGACUGUGAAAACCCGCGGCUCAACCGCGGGCCUGCAGCCGAUACGGGCAGGCUCGAGGGCAGGAGAGGAACGCGGAAUUCCAGGUGUAGCGGUGAAAUGCGUAGAUAUCUGGAGGAACACCGGUGGCGAAGGCGGCGUUCUGGACUGUCUCUGACACUGAAGAACGAAAGCCAGGGGAGCAAACGGG
RNAcentral lists this ribosomal RNA (253 nucleotides) under uncultured bacterium. RNAcentral's name for it is "partial 16S ribosomal RNA". It matches the Rfam family "Bacterial small subunit ribosomal RNA", at positions 524 to 776 of the family's 1533-position model. The record is from RNAcentral.